GACGAACGCUGCGGCGUGCCUAAUACAUGCAAGUCGAACGAGAGCGACCGGUGCUUGCACUGGUCAAUCUAGUGGCGAACGGGUGAGUAACACGUGGGUAACCUGCCCAUCAGAGGGGGAUAACAUUCGGAAACGGAUGCUAAAACCGCAUAGGUCUUCGAACCGCAUGGUUUGAAGAGGAAAAGAGGCGCAAGCUUCUGCUGAUGGAUGGACCCGCGGUGCAUUAGCUAGUUGGUGAGGUAACGGCUCACCAAGGCCGUGAUGCAUAGCCGACCUGAGAGGGUGAUCGGCCACAUUGGGACUGAGACACGGCCCAAACUCCUACGGGAGGCAGCAGUAGGGAAUCUUCCGCAAUGGACGCAAGUCUGACGGAGCAACGCCGCGUGAGUGAAGAAGGUUUUCGGAUCGUAAAACUCUGUUGUUAGAGAAGAACAAGUGCUAGAGUAACUGUUAGCGCCUUGACGGUAUCUAACCAGAAAGCCACGGCUA
This 489-nucleotide ribosomal RNA is filed under the name Granulicatella adiacens. Its description in RNAcentral is "bacterial SSU rRNA". It matches the Rfam family "Bacterial small subunit ribosomal RNA", at positions 28 to 499 of the family's 1533-position model. The record is from RNAcentral. Lineage: Bacteria; Bacillati; Bacillota; Bacilli; Lactobacillales; Carnobacteriaceae.